UACGUAGGGGGCAAGCGUUGUCCGGAUUUAUUGGGUUUAAAGGGUGCGUAGGCGGUCUAUUAAGUCAGUGCUGAAAUAUCCCGGCUUAACCGGGAGGGUGGCAUUGAUACUGAUGGACUUGAGUGCAGUCGAGGUAGGCGGAAUUGACGGUGUAGCGGUGAAAUGCUUAGAUAUCGUCAAGAACACCGAUAGUGAAGACAGCUUACUAGACUGUAACUGACGCUGAGGCACGAAAGUGUGGGGAUCAAACAGG
Molecule: ribosomal RNA, 253 nt
Filed under: uncultured bacterium
Lineage: Bacteria
Description: partial 16S ribosomal RNA
Rfam family: Bacterial small subunit ribosomal RNA
Source: RNAcentral